UCGUGGGACGGCUUCAUUAGCGAUCCGCCAAGGGGCUUGUUCACAGAGAUUGUCUCUGAGAGCGAGUCCUGACCGCGCAGAGCGUUGGUCUCUGCGAGCAAGGAGUCCUGGCCGCGCAGAGCGUUGGUCUCUGCAGCGUGUGCUGAAUGUCGUUUGAAGUUUUGAUGAGGCAUUGUCUCAUCUGUGACAUCAUCCAUUCAAAAUGGCGGCAGAAUUGCCGAAGAAGACAUCAACACCUCGUCUUUUGUCCAGGGAAAUGCUGAAGUCUUUUACUCUGCUUCCCUCUAAGUUCCUGAGGGAGAAGUUUCUCAGCACAAAGAAGGAGGCCAGUCCUGAGAAGAGUAUUCUGCCCAGAAUUGGCCCAUUUAUAGACAGGAGUGAGACUCGUCGAAAGUCGUCAACAGGUGCCCUGAAACCGAGCUCGUUUGAGGUUUCCCCACCAGAGAUGG
Molecule: long non-coding RNA, 449 nt
Organism: Melospiza georgiana
Lineage: Eukaryota; Metazoa; Chordata; Aves; Passeriformes; Passerellidae
Exons: 4
Source: RefSeq, a predicted model, not a curated record